RNAcentral lists this long non-coding RNA (1399 nucleotides) under Callithrix jacchus (white-tufted-ear marmoset). RNAcentral describes it as "lncRNA (ENSCJAG00000076864.1)". Lineage: Eukaryota; Metazoa; Chordata; Mammalia; Primates; Cebidae. The record is from RNAcentral.
GCACAUUCACAGAAAAUGCAGCAGUUCUCUGCUCUGGCUGAUCGCUUCGCCUCCUGUUUGCAGGAUGGAAGAAACAGGUUUUAUUUGGAGAACUAUUGCAGGAAUAUACCAGGAAAGCCAGGAAAAUCCACAGACCCUUUGAAGGAACUGGAUCACCACCGCAGGUUCCCUGAGACACUAAAAAACUAUGCAGAAGCAGAUUCAGAGUAAAUAACUGAACAGCUCAAUGUCAAACCUUACUAUGGACUAGUUUGCUGUGAGUUACUGUCGUCAAGCAAAUAAAAUGCAUGUUAAGAAGUAUCCACACAAUUGGAACUCUCAUACAUUGUUGGUGAAAAUGUAAAACAGUACAACCACUUGGAAUAUGAUUUGUCAGUUUCUUAUAAAGUUAAGCACAUUCCUAUACAACCCAGUUAUUCUACUUCUAGAUAUUUGCCCAAGAGAAGUGAAAACACAUAUCGACAAGAUGACUUGUGUGCAAAUGUUUAUGGCAGCUUUAAUUGUAAUGAGAAAAAAACCUGGUAACAAUGCAAAUGUCCAUCAAUAGGUAAACAGAUAAACUGUAAUAUACUUACAUAAUGGAGUACAACUUAGCAAUGAAAAGGAAUGAACUACUUAUACAUACAAUAAUGUGAUGAAACUCAAAUACAUUAUGGUGAGUGAAAUAAGCUAGACAGAAUAAAAAUUAUACUGUUUAAUUACAUAUAUAUAUAAAAUUCUAGAAAGCAAAAUAAUAUAGAAAUGCAAAUUGAUCUAUAGUGAUAGCAAGGAGAACAAUGAGUGCCUGAGACUAGGGAUGGAAGGAGAAAUGGACUGCAAAGGGGUAUAAGGAAUCUCUGGGUGGGGAGGUGGAAAUAUUCUAUAUCUUCAUUAUUGUGGUGGCUUCACAUAUAUAUAUACACACACACACACGUAAGAAAAAUGUAUGGAAAUAUAUGCUUUAAAUGAGUAUAGUUUGUUGUAUGUAAAUAGUAACUCAAUAAAACUCUUUUUUUUUUUUCCAAUAUUUAAAAAGGGUUUCUAGGGGCCCAGCAUUUACUUUAAAUAUCAAUCCAUGAUAAUGGUAAAAUUGUGACAGGGCCAUUGGUGCUGUGAUGCAGGAUGAAAUUGACAAUUUUACUGGGGUUAAGGAGGAAAAGUAUUUUGCAUUAUGUAUUGCUUUUCAGAUAUCUGCUGCAAAGAAGUCCACAUCUUCUUAUGGGGGAGAAAGGCUUAUCUGUUGAAGGAAACAAGAAAACAAAAGAGGCAUUCUCUGUGAUGUAACCCGUGGUUCUGUCAAGUAGUGUCCAGUAUUUGCAUUUUAUACCUUUUGCUGUGGAUAUGGGAAGAUUAUAACUGAUAAAAGUGUCUUCCAGCCCGUGUGUUUCCUUUGCCCUCUGAUAAUAUUUAUGCACAUGAU